GAUGAAGAACGCAGCGAAAUGCGAUAAGUAAUGAGAAUUGCAGAAUUCAGUGAAUCAUCGAAUCUUUGAACGCACAUUGCGCCCAUUAGUAUUCUAGUGGGCAUGCCUGUUCGAGCGUCAUUAAGUCCACUUAAGCCCUGCUUAGUGUUGGGAGACUGCUCCAGCGGUGCUACCCUGUAGCUACCCUGCAGCUCCUCAAAGACAGCGGCGGAGUUGUGGUAUCCUCUGAGCUUAGUAACUUGUUCUAGCUUUCGAGUACACCACUUCCCCUGCCGUAAAACCCUUAAUUUUUAAUGGUUGACCUCGGAUCAGGUAGGAAUACCCGCUGAACUUAAGCAUAUCAAUAAGCGGAGGA
Molecule: unclassified non-coding RNA, 355 nt
Filed under: soil metagenome
Description: partial contains 5.8S ribosomal RNA, internal transcribed spacer 2, and large subunit ribosomal RNA
Rfam family: 5.8S ribosomal RNA (bases 1-120)
Source: RNAcentral